Molecule: ribosomal RNA, 484 nt
Filed under: uncultured Mycobacterium sp.
Lineage: Bacteria; Bacillati; Actinomycetota; Actinomycetes; Mycobacteriales; Mycobacteriaceae
Description: bacterial SSU rRNA
Rfam family: Bacterial small subunit ribosomal RNA
Source: RNAcentral
GCCCUUCGGGGUACUCGAGUGGCGAACGGGUGAGUAACACGUGGGUGAUCUGCCCUGCACUUUGGGAUAAGCCUGGGAAACUGGGUCUAAUACCGAAUAUGAUCAUCGGCUUCAUGGUCGGUGGUGGAAAGCUUUUGCGGUGUGGGAUGGGCCCGCGGCCUAUCAGCUUGUUGGUGGGGUAAUGGCCUACCAAGGCGACGACGGGUAGCCGGCCUGAGAGGGUGACCGGCCACACUGGGACUGAGAUACGGCCCAGACUCCUACGGGAGGCAGCAGUGGGGAAUAUUGCACAAUGGGCGCAAGCCUGAUGCAGCGACGCCGCGUGAGGGAUGACGGCCUUCGGGUUGUAAACCUCUUUCAGUAGGGACGAAGCGCAAGUGACGGUACCUAUAGAAGAAGGACCGGCCAACUACGUGCCAGCAGCCGCGGUAAUACGUAGGGUCCGAGCGUUGUCCGGAAUUACUGGGCGUAAAGAGCUCGUAGG